UACGAAGGGGGCUAGCGUUGUUCGGAAUUACUGGGCGUAAAGCGUGCGCAGGCGGCUUCUCAAGUCAGGGGUGAAAGCCCAGAGCUCAACUCUGGAAUUGCCUUUGAGACUGAGUGGCUUGAGUACGGGAGAGGUGAGUGGAAUUCCCAGUGUAGAGGUGAAAUUCGUAGAUAUUGGGAAGAACACCGGUGGCGAGGGCGGCUCACUGGCCCGUAACUGACGCUCAUGCACGACAGCGUGGGGAUCAAACAGG
This 253-nucleotide ribosomal RNA is filed under the name uncultured bacterium. RNAcentral's name for it is "partial 16S ribosomal RNA". It matches the Rfam family "Bacterial small subunit ribosomal RNA", at positions 524 to 776 of the family's 1533-position model. The record is from RNAcentral.